GGCAAGUUGAGUUGAUGCCAAAGAGCUCGAUUUUCGUCUCAUCUGACCACAACACUUUCACCCAGUUCUCCUUUGAAUCAUUCAGAUGUUCAUUGGCAAACUUCAGACAGGCCUGUACAUGUGCUUUCUUGAGCAGGGGGACCAUGCGGGUGCUGCAGGAUUUCAGUCCUUUACAGCGUUGUGUGUUACCAAUUGUUUUCUUGGUGACU
Non-coding RNA from Pelobates cultripes (western spadefoot toad), 209 nucleotides. The record is from the annotation of a GenBank genome assembly. NCBI's taxonomy places the organism in Eukaryota, Metazoa, Chordata, Amphibia, Anura, Pelobatidae.